This 1448-nucleotide long non-coding RNA is filed under the name Callithrix jacchus (white-tufted-ear marmoset). RNAcentral's name for it is "lncRNA (ENSCJAG00000080254.1)". Lineage: Eukaryota; Metazoa; Chordata; Mammalia; Primates; Cebidae. The record is from RNAcentral.
GUUAGAGAAUUAGCAUUUAAUUAUCUUACCUGGUAUCAAUAUCAAUUUUCUGAUAUUUAUUGCUUUUCCUUUCCAAUUUAGGACUAUUUCUUCACAGAUACCAUAGGUAGAAUUUGUAGGUUGAAGGUUAAAGACAGGUUUUGACCUUUGACACAUGGUACCUACUUGUUUUCACUUCCUCCAGUAGUGUUUAAGGGUACUCUCAUGACAUUAUAAGCACUGAGUUUUUAUAAAAAGAAAAAGGAUAUUAACACAAACAUUAGGCAGAAAAUGACAAUGUAUUGAUUGAAAAAUUACAUACCUUUGAUUCCUAGUAAGCUGGAUAUUUUCCCCAAAGAUGGCUAGUUAUUUUCAUUUCCACUCUUUGUGGAUCUUUUGUACACAUCCAUUUUCCAUUUAUCUUUUGAGAUCGUUUCUCCCUUCUUAUUGGGAAGUAUAUGUGAUACAUACAGAGGAAUAUAUAAAAUGUACAUACAGCUUGAAAUAUAAUUAUACGGAGAACUGUGCAACCAACCAGCCCUCAAGAUAGGAACCCGCAUGUAAAAUGUUUUCCCAUCGCUCUUCCUGCCCACUGGCCCAAGGCCCACUUUCCCUCCUAGAACAUCACCUUCCCUCUUCCUGCCUCCCUCCCUCACCCAAAACAUGACCCUGACUUUGGAUCAUCAAUCCCUUGCUUUUCUUAAUAUUUUUAAACAAUUUCAUUUAGUUGUGCCUGUUUUCGAACUUCAUAAAAAUGGAAUCAUACUCUGAACUCUCAUGAGUGGAUCAUUUUCUGUAACAGUUUGUUCAUAGGAUUCAUUCAUGUUAAGGUGUGAAGCUGUAGUGGACCACAAUAAUUAUUCUAUCUAUUUAUUUCAGCAAUUUCAAAUACAAUAGAAAACGUUCUCUAUCAUGUUUAAGGGAAACGUUUUUCCAGUUUUAAAAAUUUUAUUUUAUUAUCAUUGUUUUCAGGUUGAAUGGGCUGAAGAGGAGGAAAAGAAGGUAUUGGUGUGUGUUGAUGUCUCAAGGGUGGUAGAGGCAGAAAAAAAAGUCUGUGUAUACGUGGACCUGCAUGGUUCAAACCCCCAUUGUUCAAAGCUCAGCUGUUUUCACAGGAUUAAAUGAGAUGAUGCAUUUUUCAUGCAGGAUACUUUACCUGGAAUUGAGGAAGUGCCCCAAAAUAUUAGUCAUUAUAUCAUUUUUCUUGUUCAUUGAAGAAUAGACUUGAAAGGGGAGUGAAAGUUGGGAGAAAAAUGAACUAUGAAGAAAAUUUUGAGAAAGAUAUUUGACAAAUUAUCUUUAUAUUCAUUCUUAGCCAAUACUUACUGAGCAAUUACUCUGUGCUGUACACUGCUCUUUGUGUCUGAAAUAUAGUAGUGGACAAAACAGUUAUUUCCGUCCUUGUAGAGCUUAUGUUCUACUUGGAAUAGGAAGUGGGUACAGAGUACUUAAUAAGCAAUAAAUAAAUU